RNAcentral lists this ribosomal RNA (497 nucleotides) under uncultured bacterium. Its description in RNAcentral is "partial 16S ribosomal RNA". It matches the Rfam family "Bacterial small subunit ribosomal RNA", at positions 28 to 507 of the family's 1533-position model. The record is from RNAcentral.
GAUGAACGCUGGCGGCGUGCCUAAUACAUGCAAGUCGAGCGAACGGACGAGAAGCUUGCUUCUCUGAUGUUAGCGGCGGACGGGUGAGUAACACGUGGAUAACCUACCUAUAAGACUGGGAUAACUUCGGGAAACCGGCGCUAAUACCGGAUAAUAUUUUGAACCGCAUGGUUCAAAAGUGAAAGACGGUCUUGCUGUCACUUAUAGAUGGAUCCGCGCUGCAUUAGCUAGUUGGUAAGGUAACGGCUUACCAAGGCAACGAUGCAUAGCCGACCUGAGAGGGUGAUCGGCCACACUGGAACUGAGACACGGUCCAGACUCCUACGGGAGGCAGCAGUAGGGAAUCUUCCGCAAUGGGCGAAAGCCUGACGGAGCAACGCCGCGUGAGUGAUGAAGGUCUUCGGAUCGUAAAACUCUGUUAUUAGGGAAGAACAUAUGUGUAAGUAACUGUGCACAUCUUGACGGUACCUAAUCAGAAAGCCCCGGCUAACUACGUG